Phrynosoma platyrhinos (Desert horned lizard) is the source of this 71-nucleotide non-coding RNA. Lineage: Eukaryota; Metazoa; Chordata; Lepidosauria; Squamata; Phrynosomatidae. The record is from the annotation of a GenBank genome assembly.
GCCUUUGUGGCAUAGUGGUGUGAGUGUUGGACUACCCCUCUGGAGACCAGGAUUCAAUUCCUGCUCAGCCA